AAGAAAUUAGUUUAAAAAAAACAUUAAUUUGUCAAAUUAAAGAUAUUAUUAUUAUUAUUUCUUA
This 64-nucleotide transfer RNA is filed under the name Neomegalotomus parvus. RNAcentral describes it as "tRNA-Asp". Lineage: Eukaryota; Metazoa; Arthropoda; Insecta; Hemiptera; Alydidae. The record is from RNAcentral.